RNAcentral lists this transfer RNA (75 nucleotides) under Erysipelothrix sp. Its description in RNAcentral is "tRNA-Val". It matches the Rfam family "tRNA". From Rfam's summary of the family: Transfer RNA (tRNA) molecules are approximately 80 nucleotides in length. Their secondary structure includes four short double-helical elements and three loops (D, anti-codon, and T loops). The record is from RNAcentral. Lineage: Bacteria; Bacillati; Bacillota; Erysipelotrichia; Erysipelotrichales; Erysipelotrichaceae.
GGACGCUUAGCUCAGUGGGAGAGCACCUGCUUGACGUGCAGGGGGUCAGGGGUUCAAAUCCCUUAGCGUCCACCA